Molecule: transfer RNA, 72 nt
Filed under: Camelus bactrianus (Bactrian camel)
Lineage: Eukaryota; Metazoa; Chordata; Mammalia; Artiodactyla; Camelidae
Also listed under: 1 other name
Rfam family: tRNA
About the family: Transfer RNA (tRNA) molecules are approximately 80 nucleotides in length. Their secondary structure includes four short double-helical elements and three loops (D, anti-codon, and T loops). Further hydrogen bonds mediate the characteristic L-shaped molecular structure. tRNAs have two regions of fundamental functional importance: the anti-codon, which is responsible for specific mRNA codon recognition, and the 3' end, to which the tRNAs corresponding amino acid is attached (by aminoacyl-tRNA synthetases). tRNAs cope with the degeneracy of the genetic code in two manners: having more than one tRNA (with a specific anti-codon) for a particular amino acid; and 'wobble' base-pairing, i.e. permitting non-standard base-pairing at the 3rd anti-codon position.
Source: Rfam by way of RNAcentral
AAGGGUGUAGCUCAGUGGUAGAGCACGUGCUUAGCAUGCACGAGGUCCUGGGUUCAAUAUCCAGCACCUCCA